UAAAGAACAUGCCCCCUCCCCUACUUCAGA
Molecule: non-coding RNA, 30 nt
Filed under: Mus musculus (house mouse)
Lineage: Eukaryota; Metazoa; Chordata; Mammalia; Rodentia; Muridae
Source: RNAcentral